GUAUCAGGAAUUCUGCAUUCGUUUAGCAGAAUGGUUCUGGUUCAGUUUCUCAUGAAAUUGUAUUAAAGAUGCCUGUUAAGAAAGCAGACAUUUGAAGGUUUGACUAGGGUGGAAGAUCUUCCAGGAUAGCUUCCUUAACAGGUUGGCAAGUUGGCAUUGGCUACUGGUGGGAGGCCUCAGUUCCUUCUCAUGGCGGCUUCUCCAUACAAUUACUUGUGAGUGUUCAGGGCCCGGUAGCCAGCUUUGAUGCUAGCCUCUUUUAAAAUGAAUGAUACUAGGGAAAACAAAGGAGAUGUCACAAUAUCUAUGACCUAGCCUAGGAAGUCACACACCAUAAUGUCUGCAAUAUUUUAUUAGUUACACAGGUCAGUCCUAUUCAUGGUGAAAGGGACCAACCACAUCAUGGUACAGAUAGCCAGGUGGCAACUGCUGUGGAUCAUCUUGGAGCUUGACCAUCACAAUACGUUCCCACGGAUUUUUCUGUGGAUUCAAAGGAUGAGCACAUGGAAAAUACAUAAAAUAGUGCCUGGCAUGUGGAAUAUAACCCCUCCUCCCGAAAAAACAACGACAAAACAAAAUAACAGAAAAAAAACAACCUGCUGUAUUCAUUUACAAAUGAAGAAAUUAAUGUACAGAAAGUUUCAGGAAAUAGUUCAAGGUUACUCUGAUGAUUAGUAUCGGGCUACUAAUUGGACCAAAACAAGUUGUCAGUGCUUCCACAAAACCAGAUGGACAAAAUUGACAAUUGAGUCAGGAUCUUGGUGCUCAGAAUAAAUAGAUCACUGGAGAAGCAGCUUCACAAAAUGAGACCAGAGUAAAUACUCUAACUAUAUUGCUAUAUCGCAUAUUACGAGCUGAAACUCCAGGCUGCAUGAAUUGAGUAGAAUUAACAAAUAAUUGAAUGUAUUAAUAAACAUUUAGACUCCUUUACAGAAAGUUAGUGGUCAUGCAGGUAUUUUUGAAUUUUGAAAAUGUCCAACUCAUUUUGCUUUGCUCUUCAGAUACAUUCAGAAGAAAGACUAUAUAAAAAUAGACAUCUUGUCUUUAAUAACUAAAAGGCACACUUAGGUUUUAAUAUUAACUUUUUUUGGAGAGUAAGUUAUUUUUUGAAAGAUUAUUUGACUUCUUUUUCUUCCUUUUCUUGUUUUCCUUUCUUUCCAUUUAUUUUCUUUAAUAUACUUCUUUCUUGUUUUCCUCAUUGAUUUCUUUCUCCUGUUUUUGCCAAGUACAUUUUAGAUGAACAUAGACCCUAGGUUUAGUCUUACACAGAAUAUGUUGAGAUGAGAGCAGGUGAUUAUUUUAAGUUGACCAUUAAUCAACAAGAAAUCAAAUGACACUUUUGUGCAGAACCAGAUAAAUUAUUUUUGUACAAUGACAUUCUCAAACAGAAAUGUUGCAUACUUGAAUCUAAGACAAUUUAAUCACUGUAGCUUUUAAUGACAAGGCCUCAACCUCCUCCCAUUUGAUUAUGUUAGUGUACAUUUCUUUGCUAUCUUUACCUUCUCUUUUCUUUGAGAAAAAAAGACAGUGAUAGUCUUAAAUGGUAUUAGUGCUGCAGUUGUUACUAAUUAAAAAGUUAGAGAUUAGGAAGAUGAGUUGUUUUACACAAUGAGAGUUAAAUUAUGAAAACAAUCAAAAACAUGUAAAAAGACUGGCUGGGAGUGGUGGCUCUGGCUUGUAAUCCCAGCACUUACAAAGUCUGAAGUGGGAGGAUCACUUGAGCCAGGAGUUCAAGACCAGUCUGGCCAACAUGGUGAAACCCCAUCUCUAGUAAAAAUACAAAACUUAGCAAGAUAUGGUGGCACCCACCUGUAAUUCCAGCUACUCAGGUGGCUGAGGCAAGAGAAUCACUUGAGCCUGGGAGGCGGAGGUUGCAGUGAGAUGAGACCGCACCACUGCACUCUAGCCUGGGUGACAGAGCAAGACUCUAAUUUUAAUUAGAAUCAAGGAGGAUAGGAGAGAUAAAGAAAAAAAAAUAAAAGAUAUCGAAAGACAGAUAUUUCCCUAUUUUCAUCAGUGGAAGACAAAUGGCUCCUAAGUCACCAGGAUUUGAAUAACCUUUCUAGAAAAUAUGAUUAAAUAAAAAGGACACAUUUAUAUGUAUGAUAAUUGGUCUCCCCCUCAAAAAAUAAAAAAAGGCAGGGAAAAUAAUAUAGAUUACAAAAGCAAAUGAUGUUGAUUUUCACCCAAAUGCUGCCUGUCGGUAAUAAAGUCUACCUACAAUUUUACAUCAAAUAUAGGGAGCAAUAAGGACAUUUUAGCCAAAAAUGCUUGAGCAUUUGUGGUCCCAUAGGAAAGGCCACAAAUGCAAGAACGAUGCGUCAAGAUAUCUUCACUUGAUGCCAUCAUGGAAUGCUGCUUCUUCCUCUUUGUCUUACUCCAUGCUGGGCAAGAAACUAUAAAAGUUCACUAUGAAAAUCAUCCCAAUUUGCAUCCCACACAAAAUGACAUCUGAAGAGAGAAUGUAACGAUCAGGCUGACAAGAGCAUUCUAGGUAUGACCACAACAUUUUUUUUCCAUAGAAACUUAUACAUAUAUUUAUGCGUGCAAAAAUUCUGAUUCCUCAAGGAUGUAGAACCAGAAAUACCAUUUGACCCAGCAAUCCAAACAGCCCAAAGGAUUAUAAAUUAUUCUACUGUAAAGACACAUGCACAAGUAUGUUUAUUGCAGCAUUAUUCACAAUAACAAAGACUUGGAACCAACCCAAACGCCCAGCAAUGAUAGACUGGAUAAAGAAAAUGUGGCACAUAUACACCACAGAAUACUAUGCAGCCAUAAAAAGGGAUGAGUUCAUGUCUUUUGCAGGGACAUGGAUGAAGCCGGAAACCAUCAUUCUCAGCAAACUAACACAGCAACAGAAAACCAAACACUACAUGUUCUCACUCAUAAGUGUGAGUUGAACAAUGAGAACACAUGGACACAGGGAGGGGAACAUCACACACCAGGGUGUGACAAGGGGUGGGGGACUAGGGAAGAGAUAACAUUAGGAGAAAUACCUAAUGUAGAUGAUGGGUUGGUGGUUGCAGCAAACCACCAUUGCACGUGUAUACCUAUGUAACAAACCAGCACAGUCUGCAAACAUACCCCAGAACUUGAAAGUAUAAUAAAAAAAAAAAAAUUCCAUUCUGUAUGUCUGUACAAAAACCACAACAUAAAAUGAUUUUAAUAAUUUAGACUAUAAACCACAGAUAGAUUGCAUUGCUUUGCAAAUUAUAGGAAUUUAAUAAAUAUUUUUAUAUAAAAGUGAUGACUGAUUAAUUGAAGUAUUUGUUAUCUUCUUUAUUUUACCAAGUGCUAGAGUGACUUCUAGGGAAAGUAAGUUAUUACUUUGUAGGAGGGAUGGGAAAUGAGAUCAACCUCUUGAAUUACCUACCAGACGUUAUGCUAUUAUUCAUUUAAUCACUGCAGCUUUUAAUGACAAGGCCUCAACCUUCUCCUAUUUGAUUAUGUCAGUGUACAUUUCUUUGCUAUGUUUACCUUCUAUUUUCUUUGAGAAAAAAAGACAAUGAUGGUCUUAAAUGGUAAUAGUGCUGCAGUUGUUACUAAUUAAAAAGUUAGCGAUUAGGAAGAUGAGUUGGACAUAUUAUGAAUAAUAUGUUCACACAUACUAUUACACAAAGUCUCAUAUCACACUAGGUGUUGAUAUCUUUUUUAUAGAUGAAAAAUAAAAUAACUGAAACCUGGAGAUGUUAAGGAGUCAACAAGAAUACUAAAUUACCCAUCCAGAGUUCAAAAGGAAGUCAAGCUGACUGUAAAAAUCAUGUGCUUUCCACCACAGCACAUUUAUGGUUAUAUUAAAGCUAUGAUCUGCAGAAUGUGGUAUGCCUAUCCUGAGGGAUACAAUAAAAGUUUCCAAGUAGUGUGUGGGCAUAGAUAAUUUUGAGAAUGUUCCUUUCCAAUCCUUAAUUUCUUUUUUUUUUUUUUCUUAACCUAAAAGUGAGAAUACAUCUGCAUUUUGUGGUAUCGUAUUCAUUCUCCUCCACUCAUUCCUGUUUCAAAAUAGCCCCCUUUCCCACUUACAAAAAUACACCUCUGAGCAUUCUUAAUUCUUACUAGUGUGCAUUGCUUUGGAGUAUACAAGUCUUUGUUCUCCAAACAGUUCAAAUAUAAUUCUCCAUUAAUCAAGGUGCCAUGAACCCACAGUAGACCCCAUGUCUUUCCUGUUUUAUAUGUAUUUCUGUUAAUGGUGAAAAAUGACAUUAGAAAUUGAAUUUUUUCACAAGUUAUAAUACCAUGAAUUCAGAUAUAGCAUAUGUUUGACAACUGGAGUGAGAAUUUCCCCUAAAUAUUAAAAAAUGAAUGAUUUUGUUCCAUAGAAAGAACUUGUGAAAACCAACUAAAAGGAGCAU
RNAcentral lists this long non-coding RNA (4349 nucleotides) under Macaca fascicularis (crab-eating macaque). RNAcentral's name for it is "lncRNA (ENSMFAG00000055423.1)". Lineage: Eukaryota; Metazoa; Chordata; Mammalia; Primates; Cercopithecidae. The record is from RNAcentral.